This 253-nucleotide ribosomal RNA is filed under the name uncultured bacterium. RNAcentral's name for it is "partial 16S ribosomal RNA". It matches the Rfam family "Bacterial small subunit ribosomal RNA", at positions 524 to 776 of the family's 1533-position model. The record is from RNAcentral.
UACAGAGGGCUCAAGCGUUGUUCGGAUUCAUUGGGCGUAAAGGGUGCGUAGGUGGUGGGGUAAGUCGGAUGUGAAAUCCCGGGGCUCAACCCCGGAACUGCAUUCGAUACUGCCUUGCUCGAGUACUGGAGAGGAGACUGGAAUUUACGGUGUAGCAGUGAAAUGCGUAGAUAUCGUAAGGAAGACCAGUGGCGAAGGCGGGUCUCUGGACAGUUCCUGACGCUGAGGCACGAAGGCCAGGGGAGCAAACGGG